GAUGAAGAACGCAGCGAAAUGCGAUACGUAAUGUGAAUUGCAGAAUUCAGUGAAUCAUCGAGUCUUUGAACGCACAUUGCGCCCCCUGGUAUUCCGGGGGGCAUGCCUGUCCGAGCGUCAUUGCUGCCCUCAAGCACGGCUUGUGUGUUGGGCCUCCGUCCUCCUCCCGGGGGACGGGCCCGAAAGGCAGCGGCGGCCCCGCGUCCGGUCCUCGAGCGUAUGGGGCUUCGUCACCCGCUCUUGUAGGCCCGGCCGGCGCUUGCCGACACAUCAAUCUUUUUUCCAGGUUGACCUCGGAUCAGGUAGGGAUACCCGCUGAACUUAAGCAUAUCAAUAAGCGGAGGA
Molecule: unclassified non-coding RNA, 345 nt
Filed under: soil metagenome
Description: partial contains 5.8S ribosomal RNA, internal transcribed spacer 2, and large subunit ribosomal RNA
Rfam family: 5.8S ribosomal RNA (bases 1-120)
Source: RNAcentral